GGCUGGUCCGAAGGUAGUGGGGUAUCUCAAUUGAUUGUUCACAGUCAGUUACAGAUUGAUCUCCUCGUUCUCUCUUUCCCCCCUUCCCUGGUGGUCUACUGGUUAGGA
Molecule: non-coding RNA, 108 nt
Filed under: Manacus vitellinus (golden-collared manakin)
Lineage: Eukaryota; Metazoa; Chordata; Aves; Passeriformes; Pipridae
Source: RNAcentral